Cricetulus griseus (Chinese hamster) is the source of this 107-nucleotide small nuclear RNA. NCBI's taxonomy places the organism in Eukaryota, Metazoa, Chordata, Mammalia, Rodentia, Cricetidae. The record is from Ensembl.
AUGCUCCAUUCGGCAGCACAUACACUAAAAUUGGAACAAUACAGAGAAGAUUAGUACGGCCCCUGCGCAAGGGUAAAAUGAGUACUUGGUCUCAACAAAAUAGCUGU